UGUCUCCUUGUGAUCUGAAAGAGUCAAAGAAUUCCACUUUACUGAAAACAAGCUUCAGACUGCAGAUGAGCUGUGAGGGAUUGGAAAGCCCUAUUAGGAUCAGCUGGUUGGCUUUGAAGACUCAGUCAUCCUUCUUGAACAGCAAUUUGUGUGAAAGCAGAAUCAUCGCAAGAAAGAUGAGAACCACAAAGAUUAUGGGAUACUUCAAAUUACUCUGUAACAGCAUUUAGGAGAGAGAUGCUGGAGUCAUGCUUCAUCAUUGCAGGCCCUAUGUCUCUUGAAGGUUAAACCUCUCGAUGACGAAAUGAAAAAUUUGAACACAAACCAAGCAAAAACAAAAGCACCACGUGCCUGCCGUUGGGAUCACGCCUUUCUCUCCAAAAGGACCCCUCUUCUCUGCUCGCUCGAUCGUUCUUCCACGUAAUCUCUGCCCCUUGGCACCCGGGUUGUCUCGUCCAGGAGCUCUGUGUCAACGUACCUGAAACAAGACGGCAAACGUUUAUUGCGUGUGCUUACUGCGGGCAGGUGGGCUCAUGGCACAUAAUCCUCACGCCUACUCAGGGAGGUGCAGAGAGGCCUUUGAGAUAAAUUCACUGAUGUUCUUGGAUCCACUUCAGAGUUUUCUGGGCUCAAAAUCUACAGACUUCCAGAGGACAUCUAAGAGUGCCAGCUGGCAUGAGGGCAGGACUCAUGAAGGUAGGAGUGACUGUCCUAAGAAAUGGGCUGCUUUUCUCUCUCGACAUGGAAAGCUAUACUGAACCUAACGGGCAAGGCUGAUGGCUUGAGAGGCCACCGUGUUGGGGAGUGGGUGUAUCCUCUGUGGGCCCCUUUACUCACUCCUCCUAUGAGAGGAAGAAGGAUGAAGGUAGUUGGUGAGUGAGAGAAGGAGCUUGGCCUGAGUGGUUCAUCUUCUUCUUUAGGGGAGUCGCCUGCCUGUCAGGAGCAUAAGUUCUGGUUUGCCCCUCUGUGCAUGCACGAAGGUUUACUGUAUUCUGAGGCCUGUGGUUGGCCAGCAUUGCCUGUGACUGAUGACCUAGUCUAUUUCUGAAGUUUUGUAUUAAGAAGCCCAUAGUUGCUUCACACCUAAGUCAUGUAUUACAACCUAGCCUUUAUCAGUAAUAAAGGGGAUAUUUUGAAUGUUAUUUGUCUGAGUCCCAUUUCUGUCCCUCAGUUGAUUCUAAAGUUAGGUAGGGCAUAGCAGAAGCACAUAUGAGGUUCCUUAAAACCUAACACUAUUGCCCAGAAAACUUCAAUAUUAUGAGUCUCUAUAUGUAUCAUAAUACAAAAUGGUAUGCAUUUUCAAAUAUGUAC
Non-coding RNA from Delphinapterus leucas (beluga whale), 1311 nucleotides. NCBI's taxonomy places the organism in Eukaryota, Metazoa, Chordata, Mammalia, Artiodactyla, Monodontidae. The record is from RefSeq and is a predicted model, not a curated record.